UUCAAGCAUGCUUGUUUCUCACUAGAACUUGUCUUGGUUUCUCCCUCGAGGUCACAUAGUGUGCUUAAUAACUGUGAGAUGAUAGAAGGCCAUCUUUGCUAGCCCAUAUAUUCCAUACUUGUCCUUUUACUCUAUAUGAUCCUAGUUUCGCCCCUUUGAGCUUUUAUUAUCCAUUUUAUUUGGUUUAGCCGUGGGUGGGAGCUUGGAGUUUGUUGUUAUGGGAUAGUUGGUUUGUGGAGGUGUGUGAUCAUGGUUUAUGAACUUUGUCUUUGAUUGAAAAAAAAUCCUAGUAUCCUACAAGUCUACAAAAAAAAAAAAAAUUGAAAAAAUGGGUACAUAGGAUGCAUUAGAAGGUCAUAACGUCAUGGGAGAUAAUUGUUGUGUUGUGGUGGAUUAUAUAUUGAAAAAUUUUGGUUUUGUGAAAGGUGGAGAUAGAAUUGAGCAAGAAUGCUAUAAGGUUGGUGAUGAUGUUACUUUGAUUUGCAUCUUUGAGUCACUUAGCCAAAC
RNAcentral lists this long non-coding RNA (507 nucleotides) under Salvia miltiorrhiza (redroot sage). RNAcentral's name for it is "long non-coding RNA (SMIL_LNC013048)". Lineage: Eukaryota; Viridiplantae; Streptophyta; Magnoliopsida; Lamiales; Lamiaceae. The record is from RNAcentral.